AACGCACAUUGCGCCCGCCGGCAUUCCGGCGGGCAUGCCUGUCCGAGCGUCAUUUCGACCAUCAAGCCCCGGGCUUGUGUUGGGGACCUGCGGCUGCCCGCAGGCCCCGAAAACCAGUGGCGGUGCCCGCUGUCACCCCGAGCGUAGUAGCAACCACCUCGCUCAGGGCGUGCUCCGGGUCCCGGCCGUUAAACGGAAAGCAACCCCCCAAAGGUUGACCUCGGAUCAGGUAGGAGGACCCGCUGAACUUAA
RNAcentral lists this unclassified non-coding RNA (252 nucleotides) under uncultured fungus. RNAcentral's name for it is "partial contains 5.8S ribosomal RNA, internal transcribed spacer 2, and large subunit ribosomal RNA". RNAcentral also lists the same sequence under 1 other name. Lineage: Eukaryota; Fungi. The record is from RNAcentral.